AGAGAGGAAAAAGGAAAUGCUAAUUGUGCCAGGGACACUGACAGAUGUAACAGAAAGUGUCUUCAUUGGGAAAUUGCCAUCUGAAGUCCCCUUGUUCCUUCAGAAACCAGGAGGAGAGGCAGAGGGAGCCUGACAGGAAGUGAGGAUUCGAGACUUCAAACACAAACAUUAUGAAAAACAAGCAACAUCUGCAAACACAUACCUGGCCUGUCUCCUGUAAGCAUCUGAAUUAACUGCACAUGAAUGCAAGCCUGAGCCAUGGCACUCCCAGGGAGUCCUGUUCCCAGCCUUCACGCAGCCUCUGAUCCACAGUCCUGCUGGGGAAAGAUGAAAAGACAAUUAUGGACAGCACUAGGCCGGAGCUGAGCAGCCUGGAACAGUGGAGCUGGGCAGCAUGGACUGAAAUUGUGAGUCAAGAUAAACCCUCCUCCUUCAAAUUGACUUACGUCAGCUCUUCUGCCAUAGCAACAGACCGCUGACUAGCCCCGAUGAAGACACUCCAUGCUCACGCUGCCUCUAAGCUGUCUCACAGUUUCUGCCAGAAACCCAAACACUAGCCCUGGGUGACCAGCUCUUCACGUCGCUUCUCUGUACCUUCCUUUUUCUCUCUGCCACGUUAUGCCCACCUGCCACCUGGGCCUUCAUUCUCCUCCUCUGUCUCGAGCCAGAGUUACACCUAGAAUGUUCUCCCACAGAUCUGACCUACCCCAGAAGCAGUACAAAGGCUGCUUCCUCAGAGAGGCCUUCACGGUCCACCUACCUUCUGGCCGCCGCCCUCCAUUUCAGUGCAUGGGGGCUCUGGCCACCAUGGAUGAUUAUCUUCUCUGUUAGGAUACUUCCUGUCUGUGCCCUCCUCACAAAAUGAGUGACAGCUGCUUUCCUUUCAUGUGUCCCCAGGGCCUGGUACAGGAGUGCUUGAUAGACAUUUGUCAAAAAAAACCUGCCUUUAUACACGAAUGCAUUUGAGUCAACCUUCUUACUUUACGGUUGAAGGGACUGAUUCCCCAGGAGUUUGUGCCUGGCCAGGUCCUGAAGGUAGCUAGUGGCUAGGCCUGGAGGGGAACUUGGGUCUGCUGACCCCAUUCCAGUGCUUUUCUCGACUACAGCACACCUCUUUAUUCCACCUCCAGAUAGUCUGUCUCCUUUCCUUCCUCGUGCCUCUGUUUAACAUCCAAUAAUAUCAGAAACUCCUUCCCGAUGUCUACUACACAGCCCCUCCAUACAGCUUAUGACCCCUUUAACUCAACCUUUGGCCUAUGAAAUUCCGGCCGCAUUUCCAUUCCCUGCUUAUAAAAGGAUGGUAAUGAUAACAGCCAGCAUUUAAAGGGGAUGGAGAAGUAGCUCAGUGGUUAGGUCUUGCAGAAGCCCAGAAUUUGUUCCCCAGUCCCCUUGUUUGGAUGGCUCACAACGGCCUUCAACUCCAGCUCCAGGGGUUUCUGAUGCUCUCACACAUCACCCAUGUGCACAUUCUCUCUCUCUUACACACACACACACACACACACACACACACACACACACACACGCACAUGCGCGCACCAGCAAUCACUGAGUACUUGUGUGUCUGACUCUAUUAAUCUCCCUGGCCACUCAGCAGGCAGGCGCUGUCACCUCCUUCAUCUUUUCUAGAACAACUGAAGGCCCAGAGUGGCUGCUGGCUAAGUCAUUACCCAUGUGUGUCACCGUCACCAAAAUACCUCACUGAGGCAACUUAGGGGUGGAAGGGCCUAGUUUGGUCCCUGGUUUCCAGUAUUUUCGGUCCACCGACCGUGGCGGGAGAUCUGAUCAGUUUACCCUGGCAGAAGAGAACCUUCGAAGGCCUGUCCCUGGGCCCUAUCUCCUGAAGGCUCCACGGCCUCCUCAGGUAGUGCUGCCGUCGGGGAAACAAGAGCUCAGAACAUGAGCCUGUGUGGGCGUUUCAGAUUCAAGCACCACAGUGACUCGCUUACCCCAGGCUGCAGAGUGCUCAUUGGCAGUGGCGGUCCAGCUGGGAAACGGGGCCAGGCAGCAUGGCUCUGGACCCUGGACACCUUCUGUGUGGUCCUAACCCGAUCAGUAGUCUGGUGGAAUCCCCCACCAAUAGCACACACUUACUCGACCAGAAAUAGCACCAUCCGCCGGUGUCUUGCAAGGAAACAGCUCCAUUAACAAAACCAAAUAGUACCAGUCUCUCAUUUUAACGAGGUUCCUAUGGAGUUAGGGAGAGAAGCACCAUCUCAUUUAACAGACGAGCAAACAGGCCUUGGAGAAUGAAGGAAGAGGAUGUGGCAAUUCAGACAGUUCGAUUUAAAGACACUCGUCCAGAUUUUUAAGACCUCUGGGUAUGAUGCAAACUAGCAGUUAUAAACACACAUGAUGGCACCUAGUGGGUCAUCAGAUGACAGCUACCACUGCAAGGUGGAUCCACCACUGGGCACAACGGUUCUCUGGACAGAGCUGCUGGGUCCAGCUAUUAAGCAGAUGUGGAUUUCAGGGACUCCUGAGGAAAGUAUCGAUCCACUAACGACCUGCCUAAAUCACUUGAAAGCCGUCUGCAAACAAAACGCCCUUGAGAAAUCAUCAGUUGUCACCGCUCUUUCACCUCGGUGGCCAGCGGCUUCAGACAGCAAACUUCAUUCCCUAAUGUGCAUCGCCCCCCCCCCCUCAGCCUCUCAGUGUGCUGGUUAACAGCUUGGGGACAGGAUGGUAGCCUUCCCAGGCCUUCCACUGCCCAGCUAAAAAGGAAUGAAGCUCUGUGCUGACCCCCAAGAGCUUCAAACCCGAUUCAUU
This is a long non-coding RNA of Peromyscus maniculatus bairdii (prairie deer mouse), 2766 nucleotides long. RefSeq lists it as uncharacterized. Lineage: Eukaryota; Metazoa; Chordata; Mammalia; Rodentia; Cricetidae. The record is from RefSeq and is a predicted model, not a curated record.